RNAcentral lists this long non-coding RNA (880 nucleotides) under Hordeum vulgare. RNAcentral's name for it is "long non-coding RNA (HVUL_LNC020828)". The record is from RNAcentral. Lineage: Eukaryota; Viridiplantae; Streptophyta; Magnoliopsida; Poales; Poaceae.
AAGUGGUUUCCAUUGGAAUUUAUAGUUUGUUUUACUAUAUGAACAUAAUUACUGUAAAUCUUCUACUAAUUCACUGUAAAUCUAUUGCUAAUGAAUUGUAAAUCUACUGGAAAAUCAAGUCUGUUCAUCCAACGACCCCAUGCUCCUUUCUUAUUCUGGUUUCUUAUUGUUCUUGCAAAGGGGGGAGGGCUAGUGAAAGGGAUGCAUAAGUUUUCUUGCCCUGCAAGUCCAACUCUCCUUGGUAUACUAUUUCUGGAGAUUGUUGUGAAAUUGUUGUUAUAUUGUUUAGCCCUGCCCCCAUCCUCCAAGAUCUAAUAUGCAUGUUUCCAUGCUGUAUAUUUUCUUUGCUAAACUGUUUGUUGUGGUUAAUAGUGAGGCCGUGAUAUUUGGUAUUCUGAACAUUCGUUUGAUAUGUAUGCCGCACUUUUCAACUCAUGUCAUGUUUAAUUAUUGAUGAUAUAUAUUUGCAGAUAUUUUGCCUAACUUCAAGAUGAGUGUUCUCCCUUUUAUACAAGUGAAGUCAGGCUGAAGAUAUUCAAAGAAGGGAUAACAUAUUUUUGUAUAAAAAGUUAUGUAUUGAUAGUUGGGUUAUGUGCAUGAUGUAAACUCUCGAAUUUCAUAUAUCUUCUCUCUGUUUCUAAAUGAAAUAUUUUCUAAAUGAAAUAUUGUAUAUUUCUGAAUUACAAUUGUUCCGUUUUGUUUAUAAUAGUGAUUAUGUAUGUGAUUUGAAAAUAAAAGAGGCUGGAAUUGUUUGACAAAAUACAAAAUUUAUGGUGUGGAUUCGAAUUUUGAGGUCAGAAUGACAUGUGGGACCAAUCUGACUAGUGGGACCAGUACAAAAAUAAAAUGGCCAAAAAACAAAAUCAAUAGAAAGUAAAAG